CCAGUAGUGGGGGACAACAUUCGGAAACGGAUGCUAAUACCGCAUACGCCCUACGGGGAAAGCGGGGGAUCUUCGGACCUCGCGCUAUUGGAUGAGCCUAAGUCGGAUUAGCUUGUUGGUGAGGUAAUGGCUCACCAAGGCGACGAUCCGUAGCUGGUCUGAGAGGACGAUCAGCCACACUGGGACUGAGACACGGCCCAGACUCCUACGGGAGGCAGCAGUGGGGAAUAUUGGACAAUGGGCGCAAGUGAUCCAGCAAUGCCGCGUGUGUGAAGAAGGCCUGCGGGUUGUAAAGCACUUUCAGUAGAGAAGAAAAGCCUACGGUUAAUACCCGUGAGUCUUGACGUAACCUACAGAAGAAGCACCGGCUAACUCCGUGCCAGCAGCCGCGGUAAUACGGAGGGUGCGAGCGUUAAUCGGAAUUACUGGGCGUAAAGCGCGCGUAGGGGCUUUGUAAGUCGGAUGUGAAAGCCCAGGGCUUAACCUUGGAAUUGCAUUCGAUACUGCAGAACUAGAGUAUGGUAGAGGGAAGUGGAAUUUCCGGUGUAGCGGUGAAAUGCGUAGAUAUCGGAAGGAACACCAGUGGCGAAGGGACUUCCUGGGCCAAUACUGACGCUGAGGUGCGAAAGGUGGGGAGCAAACAGGAUUAGAUACCCUGGUAGUCCACGCCGUAAACGAUGAGAACUAGAUGUCGGGAGGAUUUGCCUUUCGGUGUCGCAGCUAACGCAUUAAGUUCUCCG
Molecule: ribosomal RNA, 740 nt
Filed under: uncultured bacterium
Lineage: Bacteria
Description: bacterial SSU rRNA
Rfam family: Bacterial small subunit ribosomal RNA
Source: RNAcentral